RNAcentral lists this ribosomal RNA (242 nucleotides) under uncultured bacterium. RNAcentral describes it as "partial 16S ribosomal RNA". It matches the Rfam family "Bacterial small subunit ribosomal RNA", at positions 524 to 765 of the family's 1533-position model. The record is from RNAcentral.
UACGGGGGGAGCAAGCGUUGUUCGGAUUUACUGGGCGUAAAGGGCGCGUAGGCGGCGUGACAAGUCACUUGUGAAAUCUCCGGGCUUAACUCGGAACGGUCAAGUGAUACUGUCGUGCUAGAGUACAGAAGGGGCAACUGGAAUUCUCGGUGUAGCGGUGAAAUGCGUAGAGAUUGGGAAGAACACCGGUGGCGAAAGCGCUCUGCUGGCCGAGUACUGACGCUGAGGAGCGAAAGCGAUGG